This 252-nucleotide ribosomal RNA is filed under the name uncultured bacterium. RNAcentral describes it as "partial 16S ribosomal RNA". It matches the Rfam family "Bacterial small subunit ribosomal RNA", at positions 526 to 779 of the family's 1533-position model. The record is from RNAcentral.
CGUAGGGGCUAGCGUUAUCCGGAUUACUGGGCGUAAAAGGGUGCGUGGGUGGUCCUUCAAGUCGGUGGUUAAAGGCUACGGCUCAACCGUAGUAAGCCGCCGAAACUGGAGGACUUGAGUGCAGGAGAGGAAAGUGGAAUUCCCAGUGUAGCGGUGAAAUGCGUAGAUAUUGGGAGGAACACCAGUAGCGAAGGCGGCUUUCUGGACUGCAACUGACACUGAGGCACGAAAGCGUGGGUAGCAAACAGGAUU